This 842-nucleotide long non-coding RNA is filed under the name Musa acuminata (dwarf banana). Its description in RNAcentral is "long non-coding RNA (MACU_LNC007958)". The record is from RNAcentral. Lineage: Eukaryota; Viridiplantae; Streptophyta; Magnoliopsida; Zingiberales; Musaceae.
AUUGUUUUAUGGGGUUGUUUUCUUGUUAGUUUAUUUCCUAGUUGUGAGUUGAGUUCACUGAGUUGAGUCCAGUGGUCCGAGCUCAAUUCUUUCAAGUAGUCAGAGGCGGGAAUCAGACUUAUAACAAGGAGAGGUGGUUUGAACUGUUACUUACUUGUUUGAUUCUUUUUCUUUUACUGAGAUAUAGUAAAGUCAUACUGGUAGGCAGUAAAGUCAGACUUAAGAAAAGGAAAGUCAUACCGAUAGCCUGUAAAGCAAGAUUUGAGAGAAGCUGUGCGCGGAGUAAAGUAAGGCUAAAGAAAGUAUAGUAAGGAAUCGAGUCAGGAUCCGAAUCAGUAGAUACAGAAGAGUUGUAUUGGGUUGAAGAGCGAAAGCAAGGACAGUCAGAAUAGGAGUUCAGGGAGGCAGGCCAACAAUCGAACUACAGAGGUGCUCUAGUUCAGGGCAGAGCAGAGGUUUUCAAUGAAAAAUCAUAAUUAUAGUCAUAGUUCGGGAAGCAGAGGAAUCAUACUCAUAAGUCAGCAUAAGUAAAAGAAAAAACAACCCCCAAAUAACGGCUAGGGCUACUAAUACCAAUAUAUGGAUGGAACACUGCACUAUAGGCUACAAAUAAUGCUUUUCAGAAUGGAGCCGGUGCUUCUCAUUACUUACCUAGUUAUCCGGAUCUCUGCUUUCCAACUUCCCCUACUGAACUCAGUGCCUAUACCUUAGCUUCAUAUUCUUAUUAGGUAGUAUAGCUCAUUCCGAGUCUCCUGCACUCGAGUGUGUUACUGCUCAGUAGAGUGACUUAUUCGUAUGUUGGUCCCUCAGUCUUCUACUCGUUACUUGAAUUCUAUGUCCCC